This is a non-coding RNA of Perca flavescens (yellow perch), 378 nucleotides long. The record is from the annotation of a RefSeq genome assembly. NCBI's taxonomy places the organism in Eukaryota, Metazoa, Chordata, Actinopteri, Perciformes, Percidae.
CACACUUGCUGCACAAUGAUGAUGUCACUGAUUCUACUGCUGGUCACCCUGGGGCUCCUUGUUCAGGAUUCAUCAGGAGAAAUCAUCUUGACUCAGUCUCCUGGAUCUCAGUCUGUUGUUACAGGACAGACUGUCUUUAUCAGAUGUAAAUCCAGUACACAAAUAGGUGAUGACAUUGACUGGUACCUUCAGAAACAUGGAGAAGCUCCUAAACUGCUGAUUGUGGAUACUACAGCCCGUCAGUCUGGAGUUUCAGAUCGUUUUAGUGCAACAGCGCAUCAUAAGACUGACUUUACUUUGACCAUCCGUGGAGUUCAGACUGUAGAUGCAGGAGUUUAUUACUGUCAGCAGCAUAACAGCCGCCCGUUCACACGGUGA